GAGCAUACUUGGUGCAAUAUGUAGAUCAUGGUGGGAGUUUAUGGAAGCCAUGUGGCAAACAGAGUUAUGACUUAAGUCCCCACAAGAACUAUUUGACUCGCCACCUCCUCUGUGCCAGAAGAAUUGGAUCUUGAAAGACAGCAUUGAAUCAUUGCUAACUAAAACAGAUAGCUCUGGAUUAUAUGAAUAAAUCAAAACUUCCAAGAACAUGUUGUUGCCAUCUUUGUCAGGAUGGGAAAAUGGCCUGAGGCGGCUGCUCCUCAAAGUCCUAGGGAGAAAGUCUGCUUUGGUUGCCAUCCCAUCCCUUCUACAGGGCUCUAGGUCACAAUUAGGUCCACUCAGCCUAUCAUUCCUGGGAUAUUGAAGUCUCCAUGGUAACCAUAUCCAAGGAUUCUUACUUCUUCUCCUGCAAACUUUUCUGUAAUUCUUUCUGAAAUUUCUUGUUUCUUUGGGACUUACAC
Canis lupus familiaris (dog) is the source of this 461-nucleotide long non-coding RNA. RefSeq lists it as uncharacterized. NCBI's taxonomy places the organism in Eukaryota, Metazoa, Chordata, Mammalia, Carnivora, Canidae. The record is from RefSeq and is a predicted model, not a curated record. The transcript has 4 exons.